This 1091-nucleotide ribosomal RNA is filed under the name Salmonella enterica. RNAcentral describes it as "partial 23S ribosomal RNA". It matches the Rfam family "Bacterial large subunit ribosomal RNA", at positions 667 to 1756 of the family's 2925-position model. The record is from RNAcentral. Lineage: Bacteria; Pseudomonadati; Pseudomonadota; Gammaproteobacteria; Enterobacterales; Enterobacteriaceae.
CGUAGGGAAACCGAGUCUUAACCGGGCGUUAAGUUGCAGGGUAUAGACCCGAAACCCGGUGAUCUAGCCAUGGGCAGGUUGAAGGUUGGGUAACACUAACUGGAGGACCGAACCGACUAAUGUUGAAAAAUUAGCGGAUGACUUGUGGCUGGGGGUGAAAGGCCAAUCAAACCGGGAGAUAGCUGGUUCUCCCCGAAAGCUAUUUAGGUAGCGCCUCGUGAAUUCAUCUUCGGGGGUAGAGCACUGUUUCGGCUAGGGGGUCAUCCCGACUUACCAACCCGAUGCAAACUGCGAAUACCGGAGAAUGUUAUCACGGGAGACACACGGCGGGUGCUAACGUCCGUCGUGAAGAGGGAAACAACCCAGACCGCCAGCUAAGGUCCCAAAGUCAUGGUUAAGUGGGAAACGAUGUGGGAAGGCCCAGACAGCCAGGAUGUUGGCUUAGAAGCAGCCAUCAUUUAAAGAAAGCGUAAUAGCUCACUGGUCGAGUCGGCCUGCGCGGAAGAUGUAACGGGGCUAAACCAUGCACCGAAGCUGCGGCAGCGACACUGUGUGUUGUUGGGUAGGGGAGCGUUCUGUAAGCCUGCGAAGGUGGCCUGUGAGGGUUGCUGGAGGUAUCAGAAGUGCGAAUGCUGACAUAAGUAACGAUAAAGCGGGUGAAAAGCCCGCUCGCCGGAAGACCAAGGGUUCCUGUCCAACGUUAAUCGGGGCAGGGUGAGUCGACCCCUAAGGCGAGGCCGAAAGGCGUAGUCGAUGGGAAACAGGUUAAUAUUCCUGUACUUGGUGUUACUGCGAAGGGGGGACGGAGAAGGCUAUGUUGGCCGGGCGACGGUUGUCCCGGUUUAAGCGUGUAGGUGUGUGUUCCAGGUAAAUCCGGUUCACUUUAACACUGAGGCGUGAUGACGAGGCACUACGGUGCUGAAGCAACAAAUGCCCUGCUUCCAGGAAAAGCCUCUAAGCAUCAGGUAACAUCAAAUCGUACCCCAAACCGACACAGGUGGUCAGGUAGAGAAUACCAAGGCGCUUGAGAGAACUCGGGUGAAGGAACUAGGCAAAAUGGUGCCGUAACUUCGGGAGAAGGCACGCUGACA